GCAUUCUUUAGAAACAGGCCAGAUCUGGUGCAGGUAAAAGAAAAAAAAAAGAUGACAUGGAAUCAUCUGGAUGUCCAGCUGAAGAGUUAGCAACAUUUUCCCACUGGCAAACUCCUUAACAAUGACAAACUAGAUUUACAAAACCUUUUGCAGGUCUACACCAUAGAACAAUCGCCCUCCAAUUUCUUCCCAUCCAAGGUUUGAAGGAUGGCUGUCUUUUCCUGCUUCCCACUCCUCCUCUUCAUCAUGGUAAAGACUGAAUACUUGGAGUCCAUUUUGAAUGAGAGGACUGAGCAGACCUGUUACUCCCUGAUCUCUUUUGGUACCCCUGGGGCAAAUGGGGCUCCUGGAAAAGAUGGAAGAGAUGGACUCAAGGGAGAACCAGUUUCUUUGAAUAAUCUGUCAACCUUGGAAAGAAAAAUCCAGGACCUUGAAAUGCAGCUGGAAAACAUCAACGAGUGGCAAUGGGGGUUAAGUGACUUGCCCAGGGUCACACAGCUAGUAAGUGUCAAGU
Long non-coding RNA from Dromiciops gliroides (monito del monte), 514 nucleotides. RefSeq lists it as uncharacterized. Lineage: Eukaryota; Metazoa; Chordata; Mammalia; Microbiotheria; Microbiotheriidae. The record is from RefSeq and is a predicted model, not a curated record. The transcript is spliced from 4 exons.